CCUACGGGAGGCUGCAGUGGGGAAUAUUGCACAAUGGGCGCAAGCCUGAUGCAGCCAUGCCGCGUGUGUGAAGAAGGCCUUCGGGUUGUAAAGCACUUUCAGCGGGGAGGAAGGCGUUAAGGUUAAUAACCUUGUCGAUUGACGUUACCCGCAGAAGAAGCACCGGCUAACUCCGUGCCAGCAGCCGCGGUAAUACGGAGGGUGCAAGCGUUAAUCGGAAUUACUGGGCGUAAAGCGCACGCAGGCGGUCCGUCAAGUCGGAUGUGAAAUCCCCGGGCUCAACCUGGGAACUGCAUUCGAAACUGGCAGGCUAGAGUCUUGUAGAAGGGGGUAGAAUUCCAGGUGUAGCGGUGAAAUGCGUAGAGAUCUGGAGGAAUACCGGUGGCGAAGGCGGCCCCCUGGACAAAGACUGACGCUCAGGUGCGAAAGCGUGGGGAGCAAACAGGAUUAGAUACCCCAGUAGUC
Molecule: ribosomal RNA, 465 nt
Filed under: uncultured Klebsiella sp.
Lineage: Bacteria; Pseudomonadati; Pseudomonadota; Gammaproteobacteria; Enterobacterales; Enterobacteriaceae
Description: bacterial SSU rRNA
Rfam family: Bacterial small subunit ribosomal RNA
Source: RNAcentral